RNAcentral lists this ribosomal RNA (465 nucleotides) under uncultured soil bacterium. Its description in RNAcentral is "bacterial SSU rRNA". It matches the Rfam family "Bacterial small subunit ribosomal RNA", at positions 8 to 471 of the family's 1533-position model. The record is from RNAcentral.
AGAGUUUGAUCCUGGCUCAGAUUGAACGCUGGCGGCAUGCCUUACACAUGCAAGUCGAACGGCAGCACGGGGGCAACCCUGGUGGCGAGUGGCGAACGGGUGAGUAAUACAUCGGAACGUGUCCUGUAGUGGGGGAUAGCCCGGCGAAAGCCGGAUUAAUACCGCAUACGAUCUACGGAAGAAAGCGGGGGAUCUUCGGACCUCGCGCUAUAGGGGCGGCCGAUGGCAGAUUAGCUAGUUGGUGGGGUAAAGGCCUACCAAGGCGACGAUCUGUAGCUGGUCUGAGAGGACGACCAGCCACACUGGGACUGAGACACGGCCCAGACUCCUACGGGAGGCAGCAGUGGGGAAUUUUGGACAAUGGGGGAAACCCUGAUCCAGCAAUGCCGCGUGUGUGAAGAAGGCCUUCGGGUUGUAAAGCACUUUUGUCCGGAAAGAAAACUUCCUGGUUAAUUCCUGGGGAGG